UAAUGCCUAGGAAUCUGCCUGGUAGUGGGGGAUAACGCUCGGAAACGGACGCUAAUACCGCAUACGUCCUACGGGAGAAAGCAGGGGACCUUCGGGCCUUGCGCUAUCAGAUGAGCCUAGGUCGGAUUAGCUAGUUGGUGAGGUAAUGGCUCACCAAGGCGACGAUCCGUAACUGGUCUGAGAGGAUGAUCAGUCACACUGGAACUGAGACACGGUCCAGACUCCUACGGGAGGCAGCAGUGGGGAAUAUUGGACAAUGGGCGAAAGCCUGAUCCAGCCAUGCCGCGUGUGUGAAGAAGGUCUUCGGAUUGUAAAGCACUUUAAGUUGGGAGGAAGGGUUGUAACCUAAUACGUUGCGAUCUUGACGUUACCGACAGAAUAAGCACCGGCUAACUCUGUGCCAGCAGCCGCGGUAAUACAGAGGGUGCAAGCGUUAAUCGGAAUUACUGGGCGUAAAGCGCGCGUAGGUGGUUCGUUAAGUUGG
RNAcentral lists this ribosomal RNA (484 nucleotides) under Pseudomonas sp. RNAcentral describes it as "bacterial SSU rRNA". It matches the Rfam family "Bacterial small subunit ribosomal RNA", at positions 111 to 591 of the family's 1533-position model. Lineage: Bacteria; Pseudomonadati; Pseudomonadota; Gammaproteobacteria; Pseudomonadales; Pseudomonadaceae. The record is from RNAcentral.